CGCUGAAAUCAGGUGGGCAUGUGUGAACCGUGGGAAAAAACUCUCUUUCUGCAGAAAAUCUUCUCCCCUGACCUGAGCCUCCGCCGUCGCUCCUCCUCCCCAGCUCUCUAAUCUCACCGCAUCCCUCUUCUCCCUGCCCCGAGCCAUCGCUGCAACCCCUCCUCCUUCCUAGGUUUCUCCUUGACACCUCAUGACUCCCCGCCACCUCUUUCUAAGCGGCGAUGACCAGUGGGAUUGGAGGCGGCAGCUCGCGCGGUGGGGAAAGAGGACCGUGCUGGGAAGAAAUCUCGCGGCGGCCGACGGCCAGCUCAUAUGGUGGGGACGGAGGUCGCCGGAGAGGAGGUGAUUUGGGGGUGGCAUGUCGCCCUUCGAGCUGUGAUCUGCCGUGGCUCCAUUCGCAUCUCCGGAGACGGUGUGUGUUGCCUUCGCUAUGUAUUACUCCCUCCGUUCCAAUGUGGAUGUAUCUAUACUUGUUUAGUGUCUAAAUAUAUUCAUGUCUAGACAAAUGGGAGUCAACUAAUUUGGAACGGAGGGAGUACAAACGAUAGGUGGUUAAUUUUGCAGGAGUGCCUCGCUUCAUAUUGUGCGCUUGUGUGAUUUGGGGUACCGUUGGGGAGGGCUUCUUUCCUUCCAUUUUUAGGUUGCUGCCUUCUGUUCUACUCCCUCUGUUCCCAAAUGUAAGUCUUUUUAGAGAUUUCAACAAGGGACUAUAUACGGAGCAAAAUAAGUGAAUCUACACUUUAAAAUAUGUCUAUAUACAUCUGUACGUUGUGGUUCAUUUGAAAUCUCUAAAAAGACUUAUAUUUAGGAACGGAGGGAAUAUUAUUGUGGUCAUGUGUGUGUCGUGCUCUUUUCCAGGUUAGAUCGAUGGAACUAGCAAGGUCACACAUAGAGUUUGAAAUCAGGGGCAAAUGACUACCACUUGUAAUUGGUUCUUGGUCUAAUUAGUACAUACUCCCUCCGUUUCUAAAUAUUUGUCUUUCUAGAGAUGUCAAAUGGACUACCACAUACGAAUGUAUAUAGACAUAUUUUAGAGUGUGGAUUCAUUCAUUUUGCUCCGUAUGUAAUCACUGAUUGAAAUCUCUAGAAAGACAAAUAUUUAGGAACGGAGGAAGUACAUUUUAUUUGAGGAAAAGAGUUUGCUAGGUUGCCUCUAGCAUUCCUUUGUCAUGCAUGCAUAUUAUUUCUUGCAACAAUAGUUGACCAUUUUGGUGAUAGUUUUCUGUGAGCAAGGUAGAAUGUUUGUGUCUCCUAAUGUUCAUGAUGUGUCUGAAUUUCCAGUGGCAUAUGCAUGCACAUCAAGUAUCGAUGAGAAAAGUUAGUCUGAUUAGUGGCGGAGCCAGCUCGGCCGGCGAGCCGGGGCAAAGUACACAGGGCUGCUGUCUAUCAGUUGUUUGCCCCUAUAAUAUGAUGAUUAGCUCUCCAUUUACUGCUAUUAUUCAAACUAGAGUGCAUGGCUGAGCCCGGGCAGCUGCCCCGGGUAGCCCGGGCAGAGUGCAUUACUCCAUACAAAGAAAUGAUGAGAUUUACAGUGUGAAGUUACGAAAAUGUUGUAACCACCACCAAUUUUACAGUAAUAGUAUGUUACUCAAGGUCAUAAUGUCCAUAAACGCUAUAAAAUCUGGAGCUACAUUAUCCAGCUUUUUGUUUGGAUAUUAUACAGUUAAGAUAUGUGUUCUUAACUGUAUUUUUACCAUUUUGGACCAAUCAAUGUACAGUAUAUAUGGAAUGCAAAUGCCGAAGAGACAAUAAGGGUUUAGGCUUAUGUAGAUUUCUUGAACUUACUACUACUACACUCACUCAUUUCUUUUCUAUAGGAAUGAGAUAAUUUUCAUUAGUGGUCAAUUAAAGGUACAUAUUUAAUAAUGUAUUAGUACUUACUAAUCUGACAAAGAUAAGCUAGCACAACAUUUAUAAUUUAGUUUAGAGUUAUUGAUUGCUUUUUGAUGGGGCCAUCUGAUGAUUAAUUAACCACCUGAAUUGCACUCACCAUUUGUUUAUCAUUUUGUUUUUCUGGUUUAUUCUUAUAAUGUUGUUUUAUUUUUCCAGCCUAUUCUCAUAAAUUGGUCUGCGUGACAUGUUUACUUCCACAUGAUCCGCGGGUAGCCACACGUUCAUAUUACGGAUAUUUCUCUCAUCUGGUUUCAUUCUUGUGGAGGUAGUGUUGCUAAUUAAGCAAGUACGCCAUACAAUGCCGCUUGGUGCAGUAAUUCAUGUGAGCCCCUGCGAAGCAUGUGAUAUAUCCUCUCUGGCUGAUUCAAUUUUAGGACACGUUUUAUUAUCAAUGAUUUUUGUUGGGUUUACAUAUUAUUUGAUAACAAAAUCCACUCACCGAAAACAAAACAACGGUUGGUGUACUACGUUUUGCAGCUCACCUGGUACAUGUAUCUACAUUAUUUUCUAGGCUACAUUUCCCAUGGUCUUCCUCUUCACAUCAGAAAAGAUAAGCAUAAUUUCUUGUGUUGUGAGAAUAUGGAUGGUAGAUCCUCAAAAACAGGUACAAAGCUAUCCAUCUCCAUGUAGUAGAAUUGGUUGCAGCUCACCUGCCUAAUGCCUAAUGUAAUGGAAGUCCUUUAUUUUCUCGAAUUGUAACACUGGGAAGACAUAUGAUAGGGGGGAUAUCCAAUUCUGAGCCCAGGCUUAGCUGCUCCUGAAAUCAUAGCCGU
Molecule: ribosomal RNA, 2666 nt
Filed under: Triticum aestivum (bread wheat)
Lineage: Eukaryota; Viridiplantae; Streptophyta; Magnoliopsida; Poales; Poaceae
Description: partial small subunit ribosomal RNA
Source: RNAcentral